GAGAGCCUUUACGCGCCACUUGAGUUUGCAGAAAGCGUCCAGUCGCUUUCAGCAGAAUCACAGGACACUCCGAGGGAAGCUGGGAGAGAGCUCAAGUAACCGAGCGGGAUCUAGGACCAGGAGCGGCAGAAGCUCCAUCUCCCCUCGCGCAGUGCAUUCACAGUUCACAGCCGUCUAGACGCUAACGCGAUGCGACAGGGGAACCUUUACAGCAACAAACGGGAGUAUAGUAUCAGGGAAGGCUGACCGAGCCGUGAACCGCAGCCCUAACACGGAGCAAAUUAACAUCAACAGAAAUAGCACUGGGUUUUUUCAGCUCGCUUAUGUGCGAGGCAGCAAAUGCAGCCCGCGGUGUCAGGUCCUCUUUGCGCGGGGAUGCAUAGCAAAUUCUCCCGCUUACCUGACCAGGUGGCCCAGGGCCAGAACAUUAGACCUGAAUGAUCCGGACGGGCAGAGCCAGAAUCGAUCGAUUUGUUAUAGAUGAGUCUUUUCACAGGAGCUUGUGUGUGUGUCUGUGUGUGAUGAAAACUCGAUGAGAACCAAAUCUGACUUGUAUGCAUGUUCAUUCAAGUCUGUUAGACCUCAGAAAGUUAAUAAAACAAACUUUUAAAGUUCAGCGAAAACUGAAAAA
RNAcentral lists this long non-coding RNA (631 nucleotides) under Danio rerio (zebrafish). RNAcentral's name for it is "lncRNA si:ch211-241c24.1 (ENSDARG00000098977.2)". The record is from RNAcentral. Lineage: Eukaryota; Metazoa; Chordata; Actinopteri; Cypriniformes; Danionidae.